GGACCAGGCUGCUGGACUCAGCCCUCCCUGGCUUCAUGACCACCUAGUACCACAUCAACAAGCUGUCCCAGAGCGGGGAGGUGGGGGAGCCGGCUGGCACAGACCCAGGGCUGGACGACCUGGAUGUGGCCCUGAGCAACCUGGAGGUGAAGCUGGAGGGGUCGGCGCCCACAGAUGUGCUGGACAGCCUCACCACCAUCCCAGAGCUCAAGGACCAUCUCCGAAUCUUUCGGCCCCGGAAGCUGACCCUGAAGGGCUACCGCCAACACUGGGUGGUGUUCAAGGAGACCACACUGUCCUACUACAAGAGCCAGGACGAGGCCCCCGGGGACCCCAUUCAGCAGCUCAACCUCAAGGGCUGUGAGGUGGUUCCCGAUGUUAACGUCUCCGGCCAGAAGUUCUGCAUUAAACUCCUAGUGCCCUCCCCUGAGGGCAUGAGUGAGAUCUACCUGCGGUGCCAGGAUGUGAGUGAGGGCUGGGCAGGGGCCAGGGCCGGGCAGGAGCUGGGGCAGGGGCAGGGGCUGAGGAGCAUCAAGCUUGGUUAGCACUGUCCCCCUCACCCCUCUCGCCCAGGAGCAGCAGUAUGCC
RNAcentral lists this small RNA (588 nucleotides) under Pan troglodytes (chimpanzee). Its description in RNAcentral is "retained intron". Lineage: Eukaryota; Metazoa; Chordata; Mammalia; Primates; Hominidae. The record is from RNAcentral.